This is a long non-coding RNA of Monodelphis domestica (gray short-tailed opossum), 14804 nucleotides long. RefSeq lists it as uncharacterized. Lineage: Eukaryota; Metazoa; Chordata; Mammalia; Didelphimorphia; Didelphidae. The record is from RefSeq and is a predicted model, not a curated record.
UUCUGUAUUUAUUGUAGAAUAUGGUGAGGUUUGUGUAAACUUAAUUUCUGCUAGAUGGCUUCUCAGUUCUCCUAGCGUUCUUAUCAAAUAGAAAGUAGAGGUAAUUUAUAUCUUAUUUCUCAUUUUCACUAGCCUAGUUUGUUCCAGUAAUCAGCUUUUCUAAUUUUUAACCAUUACUAAGUGGUUUUGGUAAUUUCUGCUGUGACAGAGGAUGACACUAAAGGAGGAGUGCCAGAUUAUAUCUUUCUCCUCAUUGGAGGAGGGGCCUCAGGAGGCUGGAAUCUUGAAGAGACAGAAGGUACUUUCUGAAGAGCAGUUGGUCUCUCAGUUUGGAGAAGCUGAAGAGAGAAGGUUGGUUAAGACUUUCUCCUGAGGGUUACCCACCUUUUUCCUAUUAGUGACUGGAAAUCCUUCCCCUCCCCCCCCCCAAUAUUUCCCAAUUGAAAAGACUACUGAAGAGGAAUCUGAGAAAGACAUUUUUGAAUCUUUGUCAGAUCUUACCUUACCUCCUGUUGCCCUGGGUCUGAACUGUGGCUAACUAUGCUAGUUAGGGGGCCAAACCCAGGGUUAGUUAACUUGACUAUCUUUCGAGGGGCUCAGUCUGCCAAAGCCUGGGUUCCCCCCCAAACUUGAGGAGGGAGUAAAAGAGGUUAGUUAGAGAACAAGACCUCCUUUUCCCCACUUUCCUUUCCCAUUCUUUUCCUGCCAGCCAUUCCUUUGUUCCCUAAUCAAAUUAAUUGACGUUAAAGUGGUUAUCCUUUCCCAAAUUUGAAUCAAGUGUGAGUGAACAGCUUCAAGAGGAGAGACUUCUUCUUUAGAAGAAACAUUUUAGUCUCUAAUACUGGAGAGUGGACAAGAGGGACAAAAACAAAUCUGGGAGAGCAGUCAUAGUUAAGGAGGGAAGGCUGAAGGGAGAAAAUCUUCAAACCCCCUCUCCUCUCUCUGAGCCAACUUAAACAUCAGUUAUCUCUCCUAGAUCUUGUUCCCUUUUACCAUCUACAAACCUUCUCCAUUACACUGCUUUCUAAUAUAAUUUGAGUCCUGGAAAUGCUGUUCUUUAUUCCAACUUUAUAUUUUCAGUAUUUCUCUCAUAUUCUAGAUUUUUUUUCCAAAUGAACUUUGUUAUUUUUUAUUUAACUUUAUAAAUUAGCUUGCCAGCUUGGUUGAUUUAGCACUGAAUGUUAAUAUUAUAAUAUUCCCCAUAUUAGACACAGCCCAACAACGAACACUGAAUUACUGGUAUAACAUUAACUAGGUGUGAGAUUGGGUGAGUCACAACUUCCCUGAGUCCCAGUUUCCUCGGAUAUAUAGUUAAGUUAUUGGAUUACAUAUUCUUGCAAGGUCCCUUCUAGCUUGAAAAUGCUAUUAAAUUUUGUCUGCUUAAUACAUGUGAAGCAUAUUUUACUACUCUAGAUACUGCUUUGGUCUUCUGCAAAGUGGGGAGAAGGGAAUCAUAAGUAUAAGCAUUUUUGCAUCUAUAUUGCCAGAAAGCAACUUUUGUUUCUUAUUAAUCUUGGUACUUAGAGACUCCUCUCAGAUGGUACCAAUAAACUCUGCAGCUCUAGAACAAAAAUGGAACACAUCAUCAUUCAACUUCCCUUAUUGUCCAUGCAUGAAGUAAUACAAAGUCAUGAUCCUAGAUCCCACAUAGAAAUCCAGAGGAUACUACAUACUCAUUACAAGGAAAACUAAUGGAGAAACUGGAAGGUCUAAAUCAGUGAGGGAAUGGUUACAUUGUUAUUCUCAUCCCUCACCUGGUCUCUUCUCUCCACACAAUCUUGCUUAUCACUUUGUGUGUGUGUGUGUGUGUGUGUGUGUGUGUGUGUGUGUGUGUGUGUGCAUGCUCAUGUGCUCUAGGUUGUUUAAAGAUGCACCAGCUUUGUUUCCUGACUGAAUUCCAUAAAUAUCCUGGCUAACUGCAGGCCUGCAUGAAAGUGUUGACAUUCCCCAGCUGUUCCCUGCAGACCCAGGAGGUUUCAAUCCUGGGAGUCCAGUACUUGCUAUCCCAUCUGUGCUCUCUGAAGCUUCCAAGCCACACUCUGUGCUACUUGCUGACAUAGAGAGCUUCCUGAUGUCUAUAUCAGAUCACUACUUAGAUUUAUUCUUCCACUCAUUUAAUGCCUGAUGGGACUAAUCAGUUUGAUCUCCAAGACAAAAGAGAUAGUGAUGGUAUAGAAAAAGAAAACAACUUUAAAGCCUAACUUUCUCAACCUUUAGAGAAAGACACAGGAUUGACCUCUGGUUACAGUAAGUUCAGCAGUGCCAAGGUUAGCCAACACAUGGCUGAAAACUCCUACAGAGUCCAGGGUUGCCCAAAGCUUCUUCCAUUUUUGGUACCCUGUCAAUAUCUCAUUCUUGUGCCUACUGUUUCAUUCCUUUCAAUCACUAAUUAGUGAGUAAUGCCUAUAUUGCAUGAGGCACUACCAAGCUAGACACUGAGACAAAUACUAAACCAAGUGAAAAAUGGUCUCUAACAAACUCUUGGAUUUACAAAGCAUUUUCCUUACACCUUAUAAAGUAGGCUACAUAAAUAUUAGUAUCUCCACUUCAAAGAAGAGAAUAUUGGGUCUCAAUGAGGUUAAAUAACUUGUCCAUGGUAAAACAGCUUGUAAGCUUUGGAGCUAGAACUUUAACUCGACUCUUUGUAACAAAAGUUUAACAUGCUUUUGCUGCCAUGGAGCGUGUGUGUGUGUGUGUGUGUGUGUGUGUGUGUGUGUGUGUGUGUGUGUGUGUGUGUGUUUCUUUUGCUUUUAAGUGAAGCAUAUAUUUUUUAGUCAUAUGGAUUUUGUGACAAAAGAUGAAAAAUAAUAAGUUCAGCAGUAUUUCUGUCUAGCUUAAUCAACUUUCACUCCCUCCGCCCUAAGUGCUUUCAGCUGCUAUUAUCUGAGUGUGAGAUAUCUUUUCCCCCAUUCUUACUUUGCUAGUAGAAUAAAAAGUACAGAUUGCACGCAGAAGGUAGAUAGUCAUUUUGAAGCAAGAAACUGCCUACAUUUUGACAGAUGUGAUUAGGGACAUGUGCUAGAAAUAGAAGAUAGGAAUUACUUAGGUCCUGUUCACAGCAGCCUAUUCCUAAUGCUGCAGUGGCCUUUAUGGUACUCUAAGACAUAAUCCUGUCCAUUCUUCUUUACCCCUGGGUUAGGAAUGUCAGCUUUUACAAAAUAUGGAAAAUUUCCUGUUUCACUUUUUUCUUAGCCUACAGUGUACUGCCCACUACCACUGCCAACGCCACCUAUUACUCAGUGACAGACUCAUGGGGUCUCUGCUUUCUAAGCCACUUUUGAUUUGUGAGUUGAAGGCUAGAAUCAUUUUCUGAAGGUUCCUUAUUCUUAUCAGUGUCAACCAGGCCAUGUCAGAUGAAAACCUUGAAGGUGGUAGCCAAGCAUUUACUGUUUCAGUAAACAAUAGAGACGAUUUAUUUUCCAUUACUUUACGGUCAGUCCAGAGUAAUAAGUCCAUAACUGCCACUGGCCCCUUAGGAUGGUCUUGAGGAAAAGAUCGACAUGUUUUUAUUGUUUUCCUUUUCUUCUUUUGGACUUGCUCUGUGAUUUCAUCUGGGUAGGGGGGACUAUUAACAUGGGAACUUUCUCAAACACUGGAGAUAGGUAAAUCGCUCAUCAUUUUAGUCAUGGAGUUAAGAAUCAAUUGACAAGAAUUUAUUAAUUCUGUCCUAUGGCUUACUAGUGUGCCAAGUACUGGGCAUAUAAAGGCAAAAACACUGUCUCUACCAUUAGGAGGAUAGAAGAAGCAGGAAGGUCUUUUUGCAGAAAAUGGUAUUGAAGCUGAAUCUUGAAGGAAGCCAGAAAAGCUAGGAGGCAGAGAUGCAGAAGGAGAACAUUCUAGGCAUGAGGGACAGCCAAUGAACAUCCAUGGAGCUGGAGAGUGGAGCAUCAUAUGUAAGGAAUAGCAAGGAGGUCAAUAUCCAUGGUCACACAGAUAACAUGUUUAAUUGGCAGGAUUAGGACUUGGGUCUGCCCCCUGACUUCAAAGUCAGCCUUCUGUCUACUCUUCUACUCUCUUAUUUGUAAUUUCAUGAGCAUUUUUCAUAUCAUUGACCCCAAUUUGGCCUAAAAUAAAAUAAUACAAGGAGGAUUUUUUUGGUCAAAACUAGUAGUUACUUUUAGUAUAGGAUAUUUCUGCUAUCAAAAUUCCCUUCACCUAUGGAGAUCAUCAGCUCUUUGGUAAAUUAUACUUUUAUAAGCCUGGGAGAGUUUAUAUGAUUUGGACGUGAAAACUAGAUGAUCUUGGAUGUCCUUUCUAACUUUGAUAUUCUGUGGAAUAUAUACACAUAUACCUAUUUAUAAUAAAUGUAUAGAUGCAUACAUAUACACAUAUCUUUACAUCUGUGUGUGUGUGUGUGUGUGUGUGUGUACAAGUAGUUGGCACAAUGGAUAACCUCAGACACUAGCUGUGUGACCCUGGGCAAGACAAUUAAUCCUUUUUGCCUCAGUUUCCUCAUUUAUAAAAUGAACUGGAAGGCCUAGAGAUAGGAGGACUUAAGUUCAAAUCUGACCUCAGGUACUUCCUAGCUGUGUGACCCUGGGCAAGUCACUUGACCCCCAUUGCCUAGCUCUUACCACUCUUCUACCAAUACAUGGUAUUGAUUCCAAGAUGGAAGGUAAGGGUUUAAAAAAAAAAAAGAAAAUCCCAAAUAGGGUCAUGAAGAAUCACACAUGACUAAAAUGACUGAACAAAUGAACAAACAUAUCAUAACAGUUCUCAUUGAAUCUUGUCUCUUUAUUUCAUUUACCAUACUCUAUUAUAACUAUGUAAGUACACAUCUUAUCCCUAAUAUACUUCUUGAGCUCUAGAACUCUGUCUUCAUCUCUGUGUGAAUAAAGCAGCAAGUACAUGCUUUAUAUAUAUCUAGACAUUCAGUAAAAUGUUUGAUGCAUGAAUAAAUGAAUGCUCACAAUAAAAAAAAUCAUUGGCUUCAUUAUCCAUUUGGAGGAUAAGGUCUCAGGAUAAAGAUUUUGAUUAUUUGAAAGGAGCUUCAUUAUCAAGUAUGAUUAACAUCUAAGCUUGACAUUAACUAAAGAUCUUCAGAGCUCUCAAGUCCUUAAAAGUUGAGGGAGCCAGUAUAGUAUAAAAGAGUAGUGAACGAGAAAUCAGCAAUUCCUAAAGCAACUGCUUGGCACAAUGUAUAAUAUUUUGAGCUCUGAGCAAAGACAACAGAAUUCUAAUGCAGCCUCAGACACUUGGUACCUAUGUUACUCUAGGUAAGGCUCUUAACCUCAUUGUAUCUCAGUUUUCUUUCCUGUAAAAUGGGAACCAGCCCUCAGGUUUGUUGUGAGGAUGAGAUGAGAUAGUACUUGUAAAGUGCUUUGCAUAAUGCCUGGCACAUAGUAGGUUCUUAUACAAUACUUGUUUCUUUCCUGCUUAGUUUAAUUCUUGGCUUUAUAGUUAUAGGAGAGCAUGCUUCUCAGUUUCCUUGUCUGUGAACUGGGAGAAAGAGAGAGCGAGAGAGAGCUGUACUAUAUUCUCUCCAGAGUACAUUCCAGCUGCAGUAUUCAGUGUUUCUGUGAGAGGGCUAAAUGGUCUUGGUUGACAUUUGGUAGUAUUGUAGAAUGGAUCAUCAUUGAAAUAGAGAGUAUAAAGACACAUGAUAUUCUUCAAUAAGACAUGGCCUACUUUACUAUAUAUGACAAGGAGCAUGGUUAAGUACUGAAUCCCCAGAGCACUAAUUGCCUUCUUCUACAACUGAAUAUGGCAAACCCAGUACCUAAAAGAGCCUCCCAAAGUGAAGAACAGAUUCCAGUCCCACAAACCUUGGCAGGACACCAUGCAGCCAUCCCUGUGGCUUCAUUCAUCUUGGCACUGAACCUAUGGAGCCUGAUUAGAAGCAAUAAAAGGUGGUUGGGACCAUGCUAGUGAGUGAAGAUCCUGAGUCAUGGGAGAGGAGAAGCAAUGUGUGCAGCAGCACGUGUUAAAUGUUUCAUAGAAUCCAAAGCAGCAGUAGAAGGGAGUGAUAAAGAGCGCAUGCCAAUGAAGGGAAUCAGUUGCCCAAACAGCUCUCUCACCACAGGAGUGAAAAGUUCAGACAGAAUUUCAAUUGCUUCCUGAAACACAGCUGCAGUGAGAGCAUCUCAAUCAGCCCUGCAAUUUGUUGACUCCUUUUAAAAAUUGAUGCUUCUUAUUUAAUAAAAAAAAAAAGUGAGGGCAGUAGAGAGAAAUGGACACCUGGAUAUCAGAUGCAAUGGGCUUUUUCUAUGGAGCAGACAGUAAGACAAGAAAGCUACAGAUUAUAUCAAGAUGAUUGGUAAUCACAUGGAAAAGUCAAUACUAGAGCUGAUGACAGAGCUCCAGGUGCUCAGAUUCUUAUUUGAGUUGUAUCUGUUGGGGCUCAACUGGGCACUAGUGUUUUUUUCUUUCUGACUUACCUUGUCCCAUGUUAAUUAAGUCUAAGAUCACAUGAAUACAAAGAAAUUUUACUUCCUUAGAUCAAAAGAUUCCUAAUUGCUUUGAUUUGGAUAUUCAGCUCAGCAGUAGAGUUUAAGGAGUUUGUGGGGUAGAUAAAAGCCAUUCAUUAUCUAGGUUGAUCCUUAGGUACACAGAGGCACUCCAUUGCUGAAUUCAUACUUAAAACCAUUCCAAUUUGGUAGGACCUGUUGUUCUCUAGUUGCUAUAGACUUAAAGAGUCCAGUGAGGAAGGAAUAAAUAAGUUACAGCCUAUACAAAGUUAUGGAGAUGGUAGAUGGAAUAUCAUGUAUGAGCAAAAACAAGUUGACCAGUUUGGUUGGCCUGAAAAAUGAAUAAAGGGGAUUAAUGUAUAAUAAGCUUGGGAAGGUAGGAUGAGGUCAAGCUAUGAAAGGUUUUAAAAACCAAAUAGAGGAAUUUUUUCAUUCUAUUCUAUAGGCAACAGGGAGCCACUUGAAUUUUGUGAACAAAUGAGUAACAGGGUCAGAUUGGUGAUUGCAGAUGAUCCCUUUUGGCAAUAGUAUGGUGGAUGGAUUAGAGACAAUUGAAACUUGUGGCCAGAAGAGGAGACUUUUCUAAUAGUCCAGGCAAAAGGUGAUGUGGAUUGGACGCAGAGUGUUGGCUAUGGGAAUGGAGAGAAUAAAAUCAUUGUAAUGGUAGAAUUAAUAAGACUUGGCAACUGGCUUGGUUUGGUAGGUGGAAAAGAGUAGAGUCCUAAAUAUAUAGCCUUGAGUAGUUUAUCUUAUUUCUGCAUAUAAAAUAUCCUCUAUAAUAUUUGUUGGAUGACUGAAUUUUAUAGACUCAGCCCUUGACCUUUGGAAACUUUCAGAAUGAUAUAGGCUGAACAAAUAUAAACCAAAAUAAAACUGGAUUAUUGGCCCAUUUUUUGUUAGCAUUCUGUCUUUGACAGUGGUACCAAGGGACAUCAACAUCAAAGGCAGGACCAUCCUUAAAGUAGCCCAUGGACUUUUGUAAUGUGGUCUUCAUAUACAUAGUGUUAUUAUCACUUUUUGUGACAUUUAAGAAUUCAUAACUCUGAAAAGAAUAUAAACACAAAUAUCAUUUCUCACUACAGCAGUUAUCAUCUUUUUAACUAGAUAACAAACAUGAACAGGCACUUCCUUUCCCCUUCAAGAGCAUUUAUAUGUAUUAGUCGCUAGAUCCCCAAACUGUGAUUUUCAUUACCUAUGUCAGCUCUUUGCCUUAUUAAAAAGGCACUAUUUAUUUGUCACUUCCCCAUUCCUUCCUUCUCAACCAACCUGCAAGGGGAAGAGAUUAUAAUUAUUAGUAUCUGCACUGCACAUUUUACCCUCAGGUCGUAUUGCUUAUCAUUAACCUGAUGUAUUAUUCAAUUGGAAUACUUUCCUAAUCUUUCUCUUUGUCUCUCUGUCUGUCUCUGUUUCUCUUUUUCUCUCUGUGUCUCUCUCUGUCUCUGUCUGUCUGCCUCUCACUCUCUGUCUCUCUGAUUCUCUCUCUCUCUUUUUAUUAUGUCUCUGUGCCAGUGUCUUUCUCUGCCUUUCUGUCUCUCUUUUAUAAAUAUCCAUGUUAUUAUUAUUUCUAUUAUCCCGUCCACUACUCUAGAAGAGACCCUUAUUAUCACCUUCUUGGACUAAAGCCAUAACCUCCUAACUGGUCGCCAUACUCAAUGCUUCAAGUUUCAACAAAUAUAUCCUUCAUACUGCUAGUACAUUAAUUUUCCUUAUGGAUAGAUCUAAUUUUUCAAUUCAACAAUUUAAAUGGACAAAUAUUUAUUAAGCACUUACUCUUACAAGGCACUCUCCUAAGCACUGAAGAUACAAACACAAAAAGGAAACUGUCUCUGUUCUCAUGGGUUUGGGGAUACCAUAUAAAUGUGGGUAAGUAUAUUCCAGGAGAGAAGGUAAGUUCAGUUCUAUUUACAUAUUGAAGGAGUACUAAGUGCUGUUGCAUCCUCUAAAUAGUAGAAUUCUGGGUCAAAGCCAUGAUUACUUUAAGGAUGAGGAUGACAUUAGUUAUGAGUGUAGAUAUCAUGAGAAGGAGUUUCUGGCAGGGAUUAAGAUUUUUACAUCAGCAAAAGGGGUCUCUAAAUCACAGGGAAACAGGAGGUGGGGGAGGUAGGAUUUUGCUAGUCAUAAAAUAGAGGAAUUAUCAGUUAAUAGAGGAAGAGGGUUGAGUUGCAGGCUCUCCUUAGAGUAGGAGUUCUUAAUCUCUGUGUGUCAUGGACCCCUUUGGUAGUCUGGCAAAGUCUAUGUAACCUUCAAAAUGGUAUCUGUUGUCUACAUACAUAACAGAAAAUAAUGUUAAAGUUUGAUCAGAGGUUUGUGAAAAUAAAGACAUAGUUUUUUCCCAUACAAGCUCAAACAUCCAUAGGUUUUUCCUAUGACAAAAAACAUUGCAGCAGAGAAUAUAAAUUCCUUGAAGGCACACAUUUCAUUUUUCUUUGUAUUCUCUGGGCUUGCUUAGCACAGUGUAUGUAUUGGAUAAAUGUUUGUUGAUUGAUUGAUUCCAUUCUUUUCCAUCAUAAUCCUUAUAAGGUUUUGGGUGUUGAGGUCAGAUGCCUGCUGUGGCAAAGGCCACCUCAAGACUUAAGGUGACAUGCAGCAGAACAGCCUCCACUAUUUCACCUCCUCCAUCCCCUGAUUACACACUUGCCUAGAAAAGUAGUCAUGCUAAUGGAGUCAGGAAAAGAUUUGAUUUCCUUUGGGCAGCUGACCUUACCUUCUUAAAGAUCAUAAUGAUCACCUGAAAGAUUGUGUGGUGAGAAAGCCUUUAGUCCCAAUCUUUAUUAGUGGCGAUGUGUCUAAUUUAGUAAUCAGAUCCCUCCCUGGGGACCAACUAAACUCACACAUUGUACUUUCCUCCCCUAGAUUGCUUUCUUGCCUUACUUUUUGCAAAGAACAUCCUCUUGUGCCCACUCCAAUCUGGUAUUUGCUUACAACUGUCUACUUUUCUGGAAAUUGUAGAAUAUACAGAAUUAGAAGAAAUCUCCCUUUUAUUAAAGAACUUGGAGUUACCAAAUUAAGGAAGAAAUUUUAAUAAUCACAGAACAUUUAAAAUUAUAUGUAAACAGAGUAGAACAAAAUUUUAAAUUGCAGUUCAAUGUGUUGUGAUCCACUUGACAUACCUACUUUUGGUAAUAGUCCAUAUGCACAAACUUUCUCUCUGCCUCUACCUUAUACCCCAUCAAAUCUUAUGUAUCUUGGAUCCUACUCUCUAAGGAUUUAUUUCUGACCUAAGUGAUGGUUAGCUAAUCUGAUUAAUUCAUCUAAAUUAAAGUGCUAAUAGAGUCUAAUGGAGUAGUGGGUUACCUCUCCAAGGAAAUAUUUGCAUUUUUAUAGGGGACAGGUAUCUGAAGACAAAUCCCAUAAUACAAAGAAGUAGCUCAAAGGGGAGAGUUUUCAGAUGCUGUGACAUAGUUAAUGAGGAUGACAUUUUUGGAUAUAUGUGGUUUUUAUUCUCCAUGAAAUAACACUAUGUAUGUAACCAGCAAUGUAUAUAAAAGUAGUGAGUGAGCUUUCCUUUGAGAGAGUAAUUUUGGUUACUACAAAUUAAUCUUUUUCUCCCCACAGCUAGAAGCCUACACUUUGAUAAGUGCUUUUAUUUCAGCCUUUGUCUUCAACAUAGGGGUCUAUCCUGAAAUAUUUCCAUUAAGGAAUAAGUUGGUUUCCAAGAUGAAGCGGAUGAAUGAAUUUGAAAUAUGAUCAGGGGAUCACUUGAGGUAGCUUGUAGCAGUCCAGCCCAUAGGUAUUAUGGAGAGACAAGGAUUGUGAAUGGGCACAUGGCCAUUCUGCGCAUGGCAAUGAACUCUGUUCCCAGCGGCUGGAAUUAGGGCAUGAAACCUUGCUUCCCUUUGUCUCACUCACCUGAGGAUAAAAACUCCACCUUCACCUUGUUGUAAUUUGCAAUUAUCCAAUGGCAAUACACUAUGUAACUCAUCAAUAUGUAUUGAGGCAUUGUGUAACUUAUCAAUAUGUAUUGAGUUCAUUUGCAUAUCAAAGAGAUUAAAUUGGGAAGCCUUGGCCAGCUCCUCUCUCCUUGGACAAUCUCACAGGUUUGCUCAACACUUUUUCCACCUUUCUCUCUCCUCCCUAUCUUUACCUGAGGCCUGGCCUUCAACCAGGUGUCUCUCUUUCUUUUCCAAUGCUAAUACCUAGCAUUCUCUAAUUCUCUCUAUUAGUCUCUAUUCAUUCUUCCAGCUGAACUAUAUCAUCCUCUGACCAGUGCAGUGUUAAAUUGGGAUCUCUGGAUGGAAUAUAGCCUUUCAGUGACGUCCAUUGAUCAGAGCAUGGCUGCGGCUCCAAAAUAUUAAUAAUAAUUGAUUACUGACUCAUUAUUGACAUCUCAAAGGUUGGCUCUUUCACACCCUUCAUGGGAUCCAAAACUUCUAUCCCUUUUCUAUUUUCCUACCAUAAGGCUUCCUGCUGGCCAGGAGGCUUUAUAGCUAGGUGAAACCUCCUCAAUAUUACUAAUAAAUAAUAUUUGGAUAUCAUGUAGCAAUUUAUUUAUACCUCUUUUCUGCAUUUAGCAUAAAUUAGAUUAUUUUUUAUUUAGGUAUGAAUCAAGCCCCAUGGACAAGGACUCUAGGUAGUAGAUGGUAUUCUUGUUCAUUCACAGUUUGGAUGAGAUGACUUCUGAGACUCUUUCCAACUCUGACAUUUUGUGAUUCUGUAAUAUUGUCUUGCCUAAAAUUUUUAGCUACCUUAGCACCUAACAGAGUACUAAGUCCAGAGUUGAACUUCAAUAAAUGUUUGUUUAAUUGAAUAGAAUACUACAUUUAGGAUUAUUUGAAAUUGCUUUAAAACCCAGGAAUGGUUUUAAAAUAUAUUUGUGCCUAGAAAUUCUUCAAAAAGGCAUUGAGAUUGUCUAUAUUUCUGGUAUGUUUAGUAAAAAAAAAUAAUCAAAAGUGGUUUUCUUGAUUUUGGCCUGUCAUUAAUCAACAGAUUGAUAACUUGAAAAUAAAUUAACAGAUGCUAUAAUUUCUUUUCCUUCAAUAGCUGUUAUCAUAAAGGUACCACAGGAAAAUUAGUUAUACCUAGACAAAUUUUAAUCUUUAAUAAUAAAGAAUGAAAUCAAAUUAUUUAAUUUCUAGUAGAGUCCAAUAUUCAAAGGCUCUUAGGGCUAUUUUUUAUGAAAACAAAGCCAGUUUCCAAAUCUAUUUUUUUCAGUUCCACAAUACUAACUUAUUGACAAUUUACUUGGAAAGAAAAGGGGAAAAAUUGUAGUUUAAGCAGAAUUUUACAUGCAGUAAUCAAUAUUCUCAUUACUAACCAUUUACCCAAAAUGCAUGAUGAAAUUUGAAUCUAAAGGUUCUUCUACGAGCUAAGAUGAGGUACCAUUAAGCAAAUAACUCCCAAACUAAGCAUCCCCACCCUUACAUCCAAGGAAGAGAUUGUACAGUCAAGCUUGUUUCUGGGUUGGGGGCUAUUAGGAAAAUAGAUCUCUUGAACAGAAUUUCUGUCUUUUAGUCUUUCCUUUUCCUUAUACUCUUCCUUCCCUUUCAAAUUCACUGUCACUCCGCUCUCCAGAGUUCUGAAGAUCCUAAUGUACAGGGAUUCAAAAUGGCUACCCAUAGCAGCUGCAAGCAGCAGCUAACAUUUUAUUUCUGGCCUGGUUAGGAAUAACCUCUUUUGCCUUACUUAUAUCUCUGCUGCAGCUGUAUUAUUCUAAACAGUAUUUUUCUCAUUCUUGUUUAAAGUCUAUGAGAAGUCUAUGAGAUCUAUUUAAAGAAACUCCAAGGAAAGCCCCCUUUUUGGUCAAAUUCUGAAACUUGAAAUGAAAAAUUGAAUUAAAUGAAAAAGUUGAUCUGAUGCUGGACCAGAGGAAAAAGUGUGAGCAGGCAUAGGUUAAAUUUAGACAGAGCUCAGUCUAUGUGCUUUUCCCCCAUUUAACUUGUCUGCUUUGGAGUUUUAAUUAGUACCAGUAUGUAUUCACUUUCCUUUGGAGUCAUCAUAAAUUAUUUGGGAAUAACAUCAUGGAAACAGUUUCUUGGACUGUGAUCCAGUUAGUAAUUUUUAAAAAUUGAAAUCACACUUAUUAGCUUAGUCUGCUACUAAUGAGGCAGAGAUCCUGCAUUCUGUCACCAUGUGAAUUAGAAUACCCUUUUCAGGGAAACCUACUGCAUCUUUAUCUCAAGCCCACCCUCUCACAGACUUAUGUGCAUGUUGGCAGUCACAAGGCAGAUCGAGAAAUUAAUGUAAAUCCACUAUUGUAAACCAACAAAGUAUCUUCCCUACUGGCCAUGGGCAUAAAGGAUAAUAGCAAGAUAAUGCUGCUCCAUGGGUAUAACAAUGAGGGUACUGACCCUUGGCAUCUUUUCUUUCAUAAAACAGGAUUAACAUCAAGCUGUCAAUCUAACAGUAGGAGCCUAGCAUGGUCCUGAACAUUGUGAGGUACCAAAAAAUAAGGCAUUUUCCAUGAUAAAGUGUUUACAACCUAGCUAUUAUGUUGCUACAUAUAGUGGAUCCUAAAGAGAGAUGCAUUAAGUAUAAUAGCUAUCAAUUUGUAUUAUGUGCAUAUCUUUAUGUCUUUAUAAUUUACAAAAUAUUGUGUGUUCAUUAUGGUCAUUUGGGCAAGUCAGUUAACCUAUCUGAGGCUCAGUUAAGUAAUUUAUAAAAUGGUAAAAUAAUAAAGUUGCUGUGAAGUUUACUGACAUAAUUUAUGUAGAAAUAGUAUGAUUAUCCCAGUUUUAUAGAUGAGAGAACAGAGGCCAAGAAAGUUUAAGUGUCUUUCCCCAAGACCCCAUAGAUAUCAAGUGGUAGAGCUGGGAUUUGAAUCCAAAACUUUUGACUCCAAAUAAAGGACCCAUUCCACAAUACCACAGCUUAGGAUGAUGAUGAUGAUAAAUAAUAAUAAUGUUUGAAGUUUAUAAGGAACCCAGAUAGAGCUCUAAACUUGGAACCUUGAGACCUAAGUUAGGAUCCUGGUUCUACCAUUUACUAGUUUUUUUACCUUGGACAAGUCACUUCACUACUCUUGGACUUAGUUUCCUUCUCUGUAAAAUGAAGGAGUUGGACUAGAGGGCUCCUAGGUUACCUUCCAGUCCAAGGUCCUAUAAAUUACAUAGUAGUGUAUCCUCAUUUUACAGAUGAGGAAUCUGAGACUCAGAAACACUAAAUGACUUGCCUAAGGUCAAAUAGCUACUAAGUCACAGUCUCUACUAGGAGAAAAGACACCUUGUUUCCUUCAAGAUAGAAGAUCCCUUGAACUCUACUGAUCAAUGUGUUCAAUGGAUUGCACAGAAGAACUGCCAUAGGGAAUAUAACACUCCAACAAGACCUUCACAUUAUGAAUAGUCUAGUCGGUCUGGAUAAUAAGUGGUUGUCUGGGGAAUUAUUGACAUACUGUUACUUCAGGGAAUCAGAAAGGUCAGACACAUUGACCAUAUUUAAACCCCCAGGAAAGGACAGUUUUAGUAAUUUGAUACCUGUGAAGAUACCAGAACAAAUUGUCAAACAAUCAAUUCAGUAAUCACCUAAAAGGACAAUUAACAUGAUUUGUGAGAAGAGGGAACUCUUCCCAACAAACUUCAUUUCCUUCUCUGACACAGUACAAUGUUGUGGAGCUAAAAGGAACAAAAAAGUAGAUGUAAUUUAGUGGGACUUCUGUAAUACUUUGGGUCCUGCCUUAUAAAUUGGGAAGCAAGUCUAAACCAAUAUUGUUCUUUUAAUCUUUAAUUUUCACAUGAAGAAAACAAUUAUAAAAAUAUGCAAGAGAGGGAUCUGGACACACUAGAGAUAUUUUUAGAUAUUUUGUUUCAUUAAGUCUUCUGAAGAUAAAGUAAGUUUACUUAUAUAUCUUUUUAUUUUAUAUGCUAUAAUCUUGUUUAUGCCACUUCUUGAUGCAUUUAGGAAAUACAAUGAACCUUUCAGCAUUCUAGUCUAUGUGAUUACAUCAUUUUCUCAUAGCUUUUCUUUUAAAUGCAACUGAUGUUCUCAGAAAUGAUAAUGGCAUGUGAGAUAAAAGGCGUAUUAAUCCAUGCUGACAAUUUGCUUUGUAUCAUAAUCUCUCAUAUUUUGACAAAGCAGGCUUUGCUUUUGGGUGGAUAUUUCUGGUUCCAUUGUAUCAUUAUGUAAAAUUUUGUAGUCAUUCAGAAAGAAGUAAUUAUAAAGUUCCUUCUUUAAAGUUGGACUUUGGUUGUUGCUGAGCAGUGUUCUAGUGAUUGAUUUUGAAUAUUAAAUUAAGCUAUUUUCAAGUUUAAUUACUUUGGGGCAUUGCCUUCUCUAGUUUUUUUAAAUGUACCUUUGUUUUCUCAGCCUUUUCAGUAAUUUUGUAAGAUGGCAGUGUUCUAUACACUACCAAGUUUGCAAUUUUAAAGUUUAGUGUUCAAGAAUGAAUUAGAGAUUCCUGGCAUCAAGUUGGUGAACAUUUUUCCCCCUAGAAUAUUACCAAGUCUCUUUUCUAUCCUGUCAUAU